RNAcentral lists this ribosomal RNA (253 nucleotides) under uncultured bacterium. RNAcentral describes it as "partial 16S ribosomal RNA". It matches the Rfam family "Bacterial small subunit ribosomal RNA", at positions 524 to 776 of the family's 1533-position model. The record is from RNAcentral.
UACGGAGGGUGCAAGCGUUAUCCGGAUUUACUGGGUUUAAAGGGUGUGUAGGCGGGCUUUUAAGUCAGUGGUGAAAUCUCCGGGCUCAACCCGGAAACUGCCAUUGAUACUAUUAGUCUUGAAUACUGUUGAGGUGGGCGGAAUAUGUCAUGUAGCGGUGAAAUGCAUAGAUAUGACAUAGAACACUAAUUGCGAAGGCAGCUCACUAAGCAGUCAUUGACGCUGAGGCACGAAAGCGUGGGGAUCAAACAGG